RNAcentral lists this ribosomal RNA (475 nucleotides) under uncultured Hahellaceae bacterium. Its description in RNAcentral is "bacterial SSU rRNA". It matches the Rfam family "Bacterial small subunit ribosomal RNA", at positions 30 to 484 of the family's 1533-position model. Lineage: Bacteria; Pseudomonadati; Pseudomonadota; Gammaproteobacteria; Oceanospirillales; Hahellaceae. The record is from RNAcentral.
AUUGAACGCUGGCGGCAGGCCUAACACAUGCAAGUCGAGCGGUAACAGAGAUAGCUUGCUAUCUGCUGACGAGCGGCGGACGGGUGCGUAACACGUAGGAAUCUACCCAGUAGCGGGGGAUAGCCCGGAGAAAUCCGGAUUAAUACCGCAUACGCCCUACGGGGGAAAGCAGGGGAUUCUUUCUUUGGAGAGAACCUUGCACUAUUGGAUGAGCCUGCGUCGGAUUAGCUGGUUGGUGGGGUAAAGGCCUACCAAGGCAACGAUCCGUAGCUGGUCUGAGAGGAUGAUCAGCCACACUGGGACUGAGACACGGCCCAGACUCCUACGGGAGGCAGCAGUGGGGAAUAUUGCACAAUGGGCGCAAGCCUGAUGCAGCCAUGCCGCGUGUGUGAAGAAAGGCUCUAGGGUUGUAAAGCACUUUCAGCGAGGAGGAAGGUCGUAAGUUAAUACCUUACAGCUGUGACGUUACUCGCAG